GAUGAACGCUCGCGAUAGGCUUAACACAUGCAAGUCGAGGGGCAGCACAAGGUAGCUUGCUAUCUGGGUGGCGACCGGCGCACGGGUGCGUAACGCGUAUGCAACUUGCCCUAUACAGGAGGAUAACCCGUCGAAAGACGGACUAAUACUGCGUAUGCUCACAACUUGGCAUCAAGUGGUGAGGAAAGAAAUUCGGUAUAGGAUAGGCAUGCGUCCCAUUAGCUUGUUGGUGAGGUAACGGCUCACCAAGGCAACGAUGGGUAGGGGAACUGAGAGGUUUAUCCCCCACACUGGUACUGAGACACGGACCAGACUCCUACGGGAGGCAGCAGUGAGGAAUAUUGGUCAAUGGGCGCGAGCCUGAACCAGCCAAGUCGCGUGAAGGAUGACUGUCUUAUGGAUUGUAAACUUCUUUUAUACGGGAAUAACAAGAGUCACGUGUGACUCCCUGCAUGUACCGUAUGAAUAAGCAGCGGCUAACUCCGUG
Molecule: ribosomal RNA, 487 nt
Filed under: uncultured bacterium
Lineage: Bacteria
Description: partial 16S ribosomal RNA
Rfam family: Bacterial small subunit ribosomal RNA
Source: RNAcentral